UGAGCUUCUCGGCCUCAUGGCAAAGACCAAAGUGUAGUAGUCUGAUAGAUUCUCUAUUGGCGGAUAACAAAAGUUAGAAAUUUAACGGAGUGCUUUAGGAGCUUGCUUCACCUGCGUCACGGUUUGGUCCGGUAUUGCAGUACCGCCGGGAUUUUUGGCCACAAUUG
Molecule: small nuclear RNA, 167 nt
Organism: Ceratitis capitata (Mediterranean fruit fly)
Lineage: Eukaryota; Metazoa; Arthropoda; Insecta; Diptera; Tephritidae
Product: U2 spliceosomal RNA
Exons: 1
Source: RefSeq, a predicted model, not a curated record